Molecule: non-coding RNA, 991 nt
Organism: Macaca mulatta (Rhesus monkey)
Lineage: Eukaryota; Metazoa; Chordata; Mammalia; Primates; Cercopithecidae
Source: RefSeq, a predicted model, not a curated record
UGCUGGCACCCGGAUCCUGGACUUCCCAGCCUCCAGACUUGUCUUCACAGACGCUGCUUCCUCAAGAAGGCUUUCCCCAUUAUCUUCGUACUUCUCAGUCUUUAUUAUUUUGUCUCGGUUUCUUCAUAGAAUUUAUAGACAUUUACCAGCAUGCCAUUGCUCUCAGAGCACACAGCACGACGCCUAACCUCACCUGGGGACAUCAGACAAAGAUCCUGAAAGGGGAAGCAGGAGUUAACCAGGUGAAAGCUGUAUGGAUGAUAGAGAGUAGCCCCUUCAACAUCAAGGCCAAACAGAGCACUGCUGAUGGCUAACAUUUUUAGGUUGCAAGUGAUCUGGCCUUGGAGAUACGGUAACUGGUUGGGAACACAAAGUUGUCACCCAAGCAAAGGAUGACAGUGGAUGUCAAGAAGCAAGACUAUGCUGGAUCCUUUCUGCCGUUCUACCAGAUCCAUCCUCCACCCUCAUCUAUCAUUGUCUGUGUGGAUCUUGAUCAAUGGACUUUGCCUCUGGCUCCUGAUUGGGUUUGCACAAUGGGAAGCAGAAGAAAGUGAAGUUGUGGCUCCUUCUUUUCAUAGAGCUGCAGGUUGGACAUGCCCGUUUCCUCAAGUCUACAGCCCUUUUCAGCUGGAAUUUGCCAGCUAACAACUUCCUCCAGGUUUAGAUAGCCACUAAAUUAUCUUGCCCCUUCAGGGUUAAGGGGUAAUGGGUUCCCCUCUAUUAGUAGCCAGUGGGUAAUGAACUAUCUCUGGUUUGUUCCUUAAAACAUGCCCAUAAUAGUCUCUUUAAAUAAUUCUCCUCAAAUUACCUGGCCUGAGUAGGUCCCACUGGAACUCUGAUUCAUGCACACACUUAGUUCGUUCUUUGCAACCACUCAGUGGCAUAGAUGGGUACGUGAUGUCACUUUCUUGCUUAAAAUGUUUUAGUGCCUUGUCAUUGUAAUUGAAAUAAAACCCAAAGAGUAUGGUUUGCAAGGCCAUACUUGACCUGG